GCGGUAAUUCCAGCUCCAAUAGCGUAUAUUAAAGUUGUUGCGGUUAAAAAGCUCGUAGUUGGAUUUCUGCCGAGGACGACCGGUCCGCCCUCUGGGUGAGUAUCUGGCUCGGCCUGGGCAUCUUCUUGGAGAACGUAGCUGCACUUGACUGUGUGGUGCGGUAUCCAGGACAUUUACUUUGAGGAAAUUAGAGUGUUUCAAGCAGGCAUACGCCUUGAAUACAUUAGCAUGGAAUAAUAAGAUAGGACUUUGGUACUAUUUUGUUGGUUUGCAUACCAAAUUAAUGAUCAACAGGAACAGUUUGAGGAUAUUCGUAUGAACAUGUCAGAGGUGAAAUUCUUGGAUUUUGAUCAGACGAACUACUGCGAAAGCAUUUAUCAAGGAUGUUUUCAUUAAUCAAGAACGAAAGUUAGGGGAUCGAAGACGUCAGAUACCG
RNAcentral lists this ribosomal RNA (436 nucleotides) under Aurantiochytrium limacinum. Its description in RNAcentral is "partial Eukaryotic small subunit ribosomal RNA". It matches the Rfam family "Eukaryotic small subunit ribosomal RNA", at positions 576 to 1017 of the family's 1831-position model. The record is from RNAcentral. Lineage: Eukaryota; Bigyra; Thraustochytrida; Thraustochytriidae.